GACGAACGCUGGCGGCGUGCUUAACACAUGCGAGUCGAACGGAAAGGCCCUGCUUUUGUGGGGUGCUCGAGUGGCGAACGGGUGAGUAACACGUGAGUAACCUGCCCUUGACUUUGGGAUAACUUCAGGAAACUGGGGCUAAUACCGGAUAGGAGCUCCUGCUGCAUGGUGGGGGUUGGAAAGUUUCGGCGGUUGGGGAUGGACUCGCGGCUUAUCAGCUUGUUGGUGGGGUAGUGGCUUACCAAGGCUUUGACGGGUAGCCGGCCUGAGAGGGUGACCGGCCACAUUGGGACUGAGAUACGGCCCAGACUCCUACGGGAGGCAGCAGUUGGGAAUAUUGCACAAUGGGCGGAAGCCUGAUGCAGCAACGCCGCGUGCGGGAUGACGGCCUUCGGGUUGUAAACCGCUUUCGCCUGUGACGAAGCGUGAGUGACGGUAAUGGGUAAAGAAGCACCGGCUAACUACGUG
Molecule: ribosomal RNA, 468 nt
Filed under: uncultured bacterium
Lineage: Bacteria
Description: partial 16S ribosomal RNA
Rfam family: Bacterial small subunit ribosomal RNA
Source: RNAcentral